GGAGGAAAAGAAACCAACUGGGAUUACCUUAGUAACGGCGAGUGAAGCGGUAAAAGCUCAAAUUUGAAAUCUGGUACUUUCAGUGCCCGAGUUGUAAUUUGUAGAAUUUGUCUUUGAUUAGGUCCUUGUCUAUGUUCCUUGGAACAGGACGUCAUAGAGGGUGAGAAUCCCGUUUGGCGAGGAUACCUUUUCUYUGUAAGACUUUUUCGAAGAGUCGAGUUGUUUGGGAAUGCAGCUCAAAGUGGGUGGUAAAUUCCAUCUAAAGCUAAAUAUUGGCGAGAGACCGAUAGCGAACAAGUACAGUGAUGGAAAGAUGAAAAGAACUUUGAAAAGAGAGUGAAAAAGUACGUGAAAUUGUUGAAAGGGAAGGGCAUUUGAUCAGACAUGGUGUUUUUUUAAUGUGCAAGUCUCUCGUGGACAUGUGCCUCUGGAAAUUAACACUGGGCCAACAUCAGUUCUGGCGGCAGGAUAAAUCAUUAAGAAUGUAGCUACCUCGGUAGUGUUAUAGCUUUUUGGAAUACUGCCAGCUGGGAUUGAGGACUGCGCUUCGGCAAGGAUGUUGGCAUAAUGGUUAAAUGCCGCCCGUCUUGA
This 591-nucleotide ribosomal RNA is filed under the name Hanseniaspora thailandica (nom. inval.). RNAcentral's name for it is "Hanseniaspora thailandica partial 26S ribosomal RNA". It matches the Rfam family "Eukaryotic large subunit ribosomal RNA", at positions 52 to 657 of the family's 3401-position model. The record is from RNAcentral. Lineage: Eukaryota; Fungi; Ascomycota; Saccharomycetes; Saccharomycodales; Saccharomycodaceae.